ACUUGCACACUGUGCGCACAGUACACACUUUGAAAACGGUGCUUUUAGUACGGCAGACAGAAGGCCUUCUACAAUAUUGAAAUUGCAUGUUUAUUACGUUUCUAUGCCUUUUGAGAUUUCUAGCAUCUGAGCAGUGACGGAGCUGAAGACUGACACAUAAUGAUGCGAGCUGACGGUAACCCAGGCGACCGGCUUCUGCAUCAGUACCCGUAGUUCCGUACGAACAGCAGCUAUCUCUCUCUAUUUCAGGGCGACUCGUGCUGAAAUCUUCUAACAUGACGCAUCGCAUGGUAGAUUGACUUGGUCAAUAGAAUGGAUGUCCCGGCGGUAAACCAGAGCUAUACACAUCCACCACCUCAGCCAUGGGCCGGACAGAGCCCCAGGACCCCAACCAUGCCUCCUCCCAGCUGUGCACCUCCUUCUUAUCACUACCCAAACCUGAACACAGAUCAGCAGAGUGUGACCCUGAUGACCCACAUGACAGGAACCUCAGCAGGUCAUCGGCCUCAUUCACUGUAUUGGGACCCCUCACAGCAAAGCUACCAGGAUGUGUUAAAGCCUGUUCCUGAGAUCACAAAUAUGACGACUCAAGGAGUGCCACAGAGAAACUACUCAUUACCAGUGAGAGUGACAAUACAAGUCCAGUGUCAAAUUCCAAGACAGAGUCUCGGUAUGGCCUGGAUCCUCAGUUUCUGCCCAGUGUGGUAAAUCAGCUCGCCCUCUUAUUCUGUAAUGUUUCCUACAAGACAGCUCAGGUUUGGUUGCACUGUUGUGUAUGGCUGUGUUGUUUUGUCUCAGUGUAUGUGUCCUCUGUCUCCAAAACGUUCAGGUCCAUGUGAUUAAAGAGAACAGGAUCCAGUGGGAGGGGAAAGUGUUUGUUUCAGAAUCCAAAUCUUCAGUUCCUCCUCUCUCAUCAACACAAUGCACCCUGGAGGACAGAGGUACUGUCACUGCUGCCCAGUUUAGCCAUAUUAUCUUUUGACUUCAUAGAUUCACAUGAAAAAUAAAUGUGAUGCACCUGCUUUUUGUAUCACAACAGCUUUUGUUGUACUUUUGUUGAAAUUAUUUUGACUUU
Molecule: long non-coding RNA, 1075 nt
Filed under: Sinocyclocheilus grahami
Lineage: Eukaryota; Metazoa; Chordata; Actinopteri; Cypriniformes; Cyprinidae
Description: lncRNA (ENSSGRG00000054372.1)
Source: RNAcentral